AUUGAACGCUGGCGGCAGGCUUAACACAUGCAAGUCGAACGAGUGGCGGACGGGUGAGUAAUGAUUGGGAAUCUGGCUUCUUGAGGGGGAUAACUACGGGAAACUGUAGCUAAUACCGCUUACCAUAGGCUGAGCCCAGGUGGGAUUCGGUCGUUGGUUAGGUAAAGGCUCACCCAGCCGACGAUCUCUCGCUGGUUUGAGAGGAUGACAAGCCACACUGGGACUGAGACACGGCCCAGACGCCUACGGGAGGCAGCAGUGGUGAAUAUUGCGCAAUGGGGGCAACCUGACGCAGCCAUGCCGCUUGAAUGAAGAAGGCCUUCGGGUUGUAAAGUUCUUUCGGUGGCGAGGCGUUACCGACAGAAGAAGCACCGGCUAGCUCCGUGCCAGCAGCCGCGGUAAUUC
RNAcentral lists this ribosomal RNA (405 nucleotides) under uncultured bacterium. RNAcentral's name for it is "partial 16S ribosomal RNA". It matches the Rfam family "Bacterial small subunit ribosomal RNA", at positions 30 to 526 of the family's 1533-position model. The record is from RNAcentral.